CAGUAGCCGCGGGAAUACGGAGGGGGCUAGCGUUGUUCGGAAUCACUGGGCGUAAAGCGCACGUAGGCGGCUUUGCAAGUCAGAGGUGAAAGCCCGGGGCUCAACCCCGGAUGUGCCUUUGAGACUGUGAGGCUUGAACGUCGGAGAGGUGAGUGGAAUUCCGAGUGUAGAGGUGAAAUUCGUAGAUAUUCGGAAGAACACCAGUGGCGAAGGCGGCUCACUGGACGACUGUUGACGCUGAGGUGCGAAAGCGUGGGGAGCAAACAGGAUUAGAUACCCGAGUAGUCCCUGUCUCUUAUAA
Molecule: ribosomal RNA, 301 nt
Filed under: uncultured bacterium
Lineage: Bacteria
Description: partial 16S ribosomal RNA
Rfam family: Bacterial small subunit ribosomal RNA
Source: RNAcentral